Molecule: ribosomal RNA, 465 nt
Filed under: uncultured bacterium
Lineage: Bacteria
Description: partial 16S ribosomal RNA
Rfam family: Bacterial small subunit ribosomal RNA
Source: RNAcentral
CCUACGGGAGGCAGCAGUAGGGAAUCUUCCACAAUGGGCGAAAGCCUGAUGGAGCAACGCCGCGUGGGUGAAGAAGGUCUUCGGAUCGUAAAACCCUGUUGUUAGAGAAGAAAGUGCGUGAGAGUAACUGUUCACGUUUCGACGGUAUCUAACCAGAAAGCGCCGGCUAACUACGUGCCAGCAGCCGCUGUAAUACGUAGGUGGCAAGCGUUAUCCGGAUUUAUUGGGCGUAAAGGGAGCGCAGGCGGUCUGUUAAGUCUGAUGUGAAAGCCUUCGGCUUAACCGGAGUAGUGCAUUGGAAACUGGGAGACUUGAGUGCAGAAGAGGAGAGUGGAACUCCAUGUGUAGCGGUGAAAUGCGUAGAUAUAUGGAAGAACACCAGUGGCGAAGGCGGCUUUCUGGUCUGUAACUGACGCUGAGGUUCGAAAGCGUGGGUAGCAAACAGGAUUAGAUACCCUUGUAGUC